This 427-nucleotide ribosomal RNA is filed under the name uncultured bacterium. RNAcentral describes it as "partial 16S ribosomal RNA". It matches the Rfam family "Bacterial small subunit ribosomal RNA", at positions 355 to 774 of the family's 1533-position model. The record is from RNAcentral.
UGGGGAAUAUUGCACAAUGGGCGCAAGCCUGAUGCAGCCAUGCCGCGUGUAUGAAGAAGGCCUUCGGGUUGUAAAGUACUUUCAGCGGGGAGGAAGGCGAUAAGGUUAAUAACCUUGUCGAUUGACGUUACCCGCAGAAGAAGCACCGGCUAACUCCGUGCCAGCAGCCGCGGUAAUACGGAGGGUGCAAGCGUUAAUCGGAAUUACUGGGCGUAAAGCGCACGCAGGCGGUCUGUCAAGUCGGAUGUGAAAUCCCCGGGCUCAACCUGGGAACUGCAUUCGAAACUGGCAGGCUAGAGUUUUGUAGAGGGGGGUAGAAUUCCAGGUGUAGCGGUGAAAUGCGUAGAGAUCUGGAGGAAUACCGGUGGCGAAGGCGGCCCCCUGGACAAAGACUGACGCUCAGGUGCGAAAGCGUGGGGAGCAAACA